AAGGCUUUAUCUUAAUAAAAGAAUUUGAGUUGCAUUCAGAAGAUGAGGAUUAGAUCUCCUCAGGUCUUA
RNAcentral lists this transfer RNA (69 nucleotides) under Allobates aff. melanolaemusi AR-2020. Its description in RNAcentral is "tRNA-Ala". It matches the Rfam family "tRNA". From Rfam's summary of the family: Transfer RNA (tRNA) molecules are approximately 80 nucleotides in length. Lineage: Eukaryota; Metazoa; Chordata; Amphibia; Anura; Aromobatidae. The record is from RNAcentral.